This 810-nucleotide ribosomal RNA is filed under the name uncultured bacterium. RNAcentral's name for it is "bacterial SSU rRNA". It matches the Rfam family "Bacterial small subunit ribosomal RNA", at positions 62 to 867 of the family's 1533-position model. The record is from RNAcentral.
UCGAGCGGUAGAGAGAAGCUUGCUUCUCUUGAGAGCGGCGGACGGGUGAGUAAUGCCUAGGAAUCUGCCUAGUGGUGGGGGAUAACGUUCGGAAACGGACGCUAAUACCGCAUACGUCCUACGGGAGAAAGCGGGGGAUCUUCGGACCUCGCGCCAUUAGAUGAGCCUAGGUCGGAUUAGCUAGUUGGUGAGGUAAUGGCUCACCAAGGCGACGAUCCGUAACUGGUCUGAGAGGAUGAUCAGUCACACUGGAACUGAGACACGGUCCAGACUCCUACGGGAGGCAGCAGUGGGGAAUAUUGGACAAUGGGCGAAAGCCUGAUCCAGCCAUGCCGCGUGUGUGAAGAAGGUCUUCGGAUUGUAAAGCACUUUAAGUUGGGAGGAAGGACAGUAACCUAAUACGUUAUUGUUUUGACGUUACCGACAGAAUAAGCACCGGCUAACUUCGUGCCAGCAGCCGCGGUAAUACGAAGGGUGCAAGCGUUAAUCGGAAUUACUGGGCGUAAAGCGCGCGUAGGUGGUUCAGUAAGUUGGAAGUGAAAUCCCCGGGCUCAACCUGGGAACUGCUUUCAAAACUGCUAAGCUAGAGUACGGUAGAGGGUGGUGGAAUUUCCUGUGUAGCGGUGAAGUGCGUAGAUAUAGGAAGGAACACCAGUGGCGAAGGCGACCACCUGGACUGAUACUGACACUGAGGUGCGAAAGCGUGGGGAGCAAACAGGAUUAGAUACCCUGGUAGUCCACGCCGUAAACGAUGUCAACUAGCCGUUGGGAGUCUUGAACUCUUAGUGGCGCAGCUAACGCAUUAAGUUG